UUCUCCCUAUUUUCUUCUAUCUCUCCCAAUUGAGAGUGGGUGUCUCCAUUGCAAUUCUUGGAUUUGGAGGGUGGAAUAUUGCAUAACCAUUGCCUAGUGAGAUCGUUGCAACUUUUUCGUUUGUUACUGUUCAUGCAGAUCGACGCAUGGUGCAACCCGAUCCAUUCCGUUACGAGAAAAGCUAUACUGAGAGCUGAAGAAGAUCUCUAAAGCAUCAAAGCUUAAAGUACAUUGAAGUAUGUAGAAGACUUCAAGCAUGCAAGGUCAAUGUAAUAAAGCAUAAAGACUCUUGAGGACCAACUGCAAGAAGAAUAAGAAGACCUUAAGUGAUCCUCAAUGUAAUAGUGCACACACCAUACACAAGCACUACACUAUAUCUCAUAAGCAUGCAUUAUAUAUCAAAGAAGGUAUUUCACCUCCACACUCAUGUUUUGAUGAUGACAACAAUUUGCCUUCAAGUAUUAUUUUACAGAGACCUAAUAUUAAAGAUUGAAUUUGAUGAAGUCAUCAAAUGAAGAGUAUCAACAAGGUUGGAUCAAUUCUUGAAGAAUGUAUCAGAAGAAUUCAAACUUCAAGAUGUCAAGAUAUGAAGCUCAAAGUCAUGGAAUUGCAAACAAGAAGAAUGGAAGAAGAAGUGCUAAAACUAGAAGUCAAGAUAAAGACUUUAAGGCUCAAGUGGAGAAGAAGACAUUUAGGAUAGAAUGGUUGUUUAUAUGUAAUCUAUAAACUUCCAUAUAUAUAUGUGCACACACCUCAUACAAUGCAUAAUAUCAUACUAGAAUUACCUUAGGACAUACCUUGACCAAGUAUGAAGUCCCUAAGUGGUUAGAAACAUAUUAAGAAAAAUAUGUUUCAGUAAAAUUCUAUGAAAACCACAUUGACCUGAUUCUUUGGCA
Long non-coding RNA from Macadamia integrifolia, 896 nucleotides. RefSeq lists it as uncharacterized. The record is from RefSeq and is a predicted model, not a curated record. Lineage: Eukaryota; Viridiplantae; Streptophyta; Magnoliopsida; Proteales; Proteaceae. The transcript has 2 exons.